GACAGAGGGUGCAAACGUUGUUCGGAAUUACUGGGCGUAAAGCGCGUGUAGGCGGUUUCGCAAGUCGGAUGUGAAAUCCCGUGGCUCAACCAUGGAAGUGCACUCGAAACUGCGUGACUAGAGUUCUGGAGAGGAAGGUGGAAUGCUUGGUGUAGAGGUGAAAUUCGUAGAUAUCAAGCAGAACACCGGUGGCGAAGGCGACCUUCUGGACAGUGACUGACGCUGAGACGCGAAAGCGUGGGGAGCAAACAGG
Molecule: ribosomal RNA, 253 nt
Filed under: uncultured bacterium
Lineage: Bacteria
Description: partial 16S ribosomal RNA
Rfam family: Bacterial small subunit ribosomal RNA
Source: RNAcentral